Danio rerio (zebrafish) is the source of this 1642-nucleotide non-coding RNA. The record is from RefSeq and is a predicted model, not a curated record. NCBI's taxonomy places the organism in Eukaryota, Metazoa, Chordata, Actinopteri, Cypriniformes, Danionidae.
CCAGCUGGGGCUCAAACCGCAGCAACCUUCUUGCUGUGAGGUGAUUGGGCUACCCACUGCACCAUCGUGCUGCCCUAUGACUAAAUAUGACAGUAAUGUUAUUUAUUAGGUUAAACUAAAUCAAAUUUUGUGGUCAAAAUAUAAUACUUACUAUGCUGAAAACGCAGAUUAAGUUAACAAUUAAGUGAAUGUGAAUAUUUAAUGUGAUUAUUAAUAAUAAAAAAUAACUAAAGUAUAAUACAGUAUUUAUUACAGCUUAUCAUUUAUGCAUUAUGCACGGGGUAUUUUUUCUGGUGUAAAAUGCUGUUAGCUUUUUUUAUCAUGACGUUUUCUAAAACAUUUUUCCCAGUGUAAGUUAAAAUCAAAAUCUGUUCUGCAUUUAGGCUGUUUAAUUAAAAUAAACACCUUGUUUUUACAGAGUGACAUCUUUAUUUUAUAAAUACAUGUAUUUAUAUUUAUUGUUUAUUUAUUUUUUACAGUGAAUCUGAGGCACAAAUAACGUGUGACUUUAGUAGGCUACAAAAACACUAAGCACAUUUUAAAGAUAAAAGGUAUCAUUCAAAACACUGGAGCGGGAGUUGCUAUGGGAAACGAGGCAACGAUGCUUUGACAACACAACUUCUCUCACGCUGCUGUUUUCAGGAGUGACAGAAUAACACCCUGCUACAAAAAAGAGGAUACAAGAUUUCUACAUUUCUGAAGUGAGCUGAUCACAGAGAUGCAGGAAACACAGGGUUGCUACUCCAAGGUUUAGAUUUGACUACUGCAGUCCUGGUGUGGGUCCAGCCUCACUUGUGAAGACUAAAGAUGAUGACAACAUUUAAGAACACCUUUAGAUGAUGGCCACACACUGUAUUCCACCUGUAUAUCCAUUUUCAUGUGUAAGCAUCAUUCCACAAGAUACAACAAAAUUUAACAACAGGUUAUUUAAUUUAAUGACAAAAUCUGUUUUUUUUUUGUGUUGUGCAUCAGUUUUCUUUAAAAAUGAACUGGGUAUCUCUGAGAAAGUAUUGUCAUUUUAUUUUAUUCACAUGUUAUUAGUACAGAGGAGAUAUUACAAAUUGUUGAAUACCAAUUAUAAGAUUUGUUUUUAACAGAGCAUAAGACUACAGACUUUAAUAAGAUUUUAUCAGAAAAUUAUUUUUUAAUUUGCAUGAUUUCAUUUACUCCUGUAAAUAUUGUUUGCCAGGUAUUUUUAGUGUUUAUGCACUCUUUUAUGCACUCUUUUAUUUAUUAUAACUCUAUUGUAAUUUAUUUUAAGAAAGUCUGAACACAUGAACACAUGUAACACAUGACUGGUGUUAUCUUAUAUGUUAAAAUUAUAAUUUUGGAAAACAUGCGUUUUCUUUAACAUUAUUUAAGAAAGUAGCCUACCAGCAUUGUAAAAUGUGCUUGCACAAUUUGUGUUUUUACUAUAGUAAAACUGUAUCCACCAUGAGUGUUUUGAAGUACUUGUAAAUAUUACUAUGGUUUUAAUGUAAAUGCUGUAAUGGAUUUUGUAUUUAAAAUCUUUAUUGCAACUAAUUAAUUGCAACUUUAUUGCAACUAGUUAACUCAGCCAUGGUUAUUGUGAAACUGGUUGACUUUGUUUUAAAUGUGGUAAAGCAUGGUUGUGAAAAUACUAAUAAAUCUUGAACUGUUA